CAUGGAUGUGUUCCAGAAGGUAGAGAAGAUCGGAGAGGGGACCUAUGGGGUGGUCUACAAGGCCAGGAACAAAGUGACUGGGCAGCUUGUGGCCCUCAAGAAGAUCAGGCUGGAUCUGGAGGCCGAGGGAGUUCCCAGCACUGCCGUCAGGGAGAUCUCGCUGCUGAAAGAACUGAAGCACCCCAAUAUUAUCAAGCUGCUGGAUGUGGUCCACAGAGAGAAGAAGCUGUAUAUGGUGUUCGAGUUCCUCACUCAGGACCUGAAGAGGCACAUGGAUUCCUCCCCCACCUCAGAGCUCCCUCUGCCCGUUGUCAAGAGCUACCUUGCCCAGCUGCUGGAAGGGGUGAGUUUCUGCCACUCCCACCGGGUCAUUCACCGAGACCUGAAGCCGCAGAACCUGCUCCUUGAUGGGCUCGGGGCCAUCAAACUGGCCGACUUUGGACUGGCUCGGGCCUUUGGGGUUCCCCUGCGCACCUACACCCACGAGGUGGUGACCCUGUGGUACCGUGCCCCUGAGAUCCUCUUGGGCAGCAAGUUUUAUUCAACAGCUGUGGACAUCUGAAGCAUUGGCUGCAUCUUUGCAGAGAUGGUGACUGGCAAAGCUCUGUUUCCGGGUGACUCAGAGAUUGACCAGCUCUUUCGGAUCUUUCGCACCCUGGGGACCCCCAGUGAAGCCACAUGGCCCGGAGUCUCCCAGAUGCCUGACUAUCAGAGUAGCUUCCCCAAAUGGAGCAGGAAGGGGCUGGAGGAAAUCGUGCCUAGUCUGGGACCAGAAGGCAAGGACCUGCUCCUGCGACUCCUGCAGUAUGACCCCAGCCAGCGGAUCUCAGCCAAGACUGCCCUGGCCCAUCCCUACUUCUCUCCUGGACACUCCCUAGCACCCCAACAAUGUACAGCAGGGCGUUCCUCCCGCUGAGAACACGUAUGUGGGGCCCACCACCUCACACCCUCGCCAGCUGCCUCCCUCCCUUUCUGCCUUUCUGGGGAAGAACAGACCCUGAGGGGCUUGGGUUCAUGUCGUCUACAGGUUGGCAAGUUCCUGUAUUGUUUGUUGGAUUUAAUGGAGCACUUUCGAAAGGCAUGCAGGUGCUCCCUGCCCAAUUGGGGGCAGGGCACAGAACUCCUCUGAAUGACCAGACAGUAGGUGUCAGGUUAGAUAAGAGACCCUAGCCCUUCGCCUUCACUGCACAGCUGCAGAGCAUGGCCCCUGAGAGAGGGUGCCCUCUGCUGGUCUUUUGGUUUAGGCUGUUGGGAGAGUUGAAUUCCAGUUCAGAGGACCUAGUUAAACAGGAGGAGGGGCAGGGCAGUUCUCUGAUCCUAAGAGUGGUUACAACACCUGAGGGUGUUCUAAGUAGUCGCGUCAUCAAAAAUAGGCAGUUGAUGUCCUUCUGUGUGACACAUGGAAAAUAAAUGUAACUUCUUCCUGA
Mus musculus (house mouse) is the source of this 1427-nucleotide RNA transcript. It is a transcript of the gene named cyclin dependent kinase 3, with no coding region annotated. NCBI's taxonomy places the organism in Eukaryota, Metazoa, Chordata, Mammalia, Rodentia, Muridae. The record is from RefSeq and is marked validated. The transcript is spliced from 7 exons.